UGUGAGACUUGUCUGCUUCCCCUUCAACUUCCACCAUGAUUGAAAGUUUCCUGAGGUCUCCCCAGCCAUGCUUCCUGUCCAUCCUAUGGAGCUUAACAUGGAUGGAACUGGAAGCCAUUAUCAUAAGUGAAAUAACUCAGAAAGUCAAAUACUGGAUGCUUUCAUUUAUAGGGAAAAUACGGAACUCUAAUUUCAGGUGAAGGGAUUUCAGCUGGUUAGUAACUCAGUGACCCACUCAGAAGAGAGAACACCCUCUCCUCUCCCUCCUGACAAACCAA
Gorilla gorilla gorilla (western lowland gorilla) is the source of this 278-nucleotide long non-coding RNA. RefSeq lists it as uncharacterized. The transcript has 3 exons. NCBI's taxonomy places the organism in Eukaryota, Metazoa, Chordata, Mammalia, Primates, Hominidae. The record is from RefSeq and is a predicted model, not a curated record.